UACGGGGGGGGCAAGCGUUGUUCGGAAUUACUGGGCGUAAAGGGCUCGUAGGUGGCCAACUAAGUCAGACGUGAAAUCCCUCGGCUUAACCGGGGAACUGCGUCUGAUACUGGAUGGCUUGAGUUUGGGAGAGGGACGCGGAAUUCCAGGUGUAGCGGUGAAAUGCGUAGAUAUCCGGAGGAACACCAGUGGCGAAAGCGGCCACCUGGACUGUACCUGACGCUGACACGCGAAAGCUAGGGGAGCGAACGGG
Molecule: ribosomal RNA, 253 nt
Filed under: uncultured bacterium
Lineage: Bacteria
Description: partial 16S ribosomal RNA
Rfam family: Bacterial small subunit ribosomal RNA
Source: RNAcentral